Molecule: ribosomal RNA, 116 nt
Filed under: uncultured eukaryote
Lineage: Eukaryota
Description: partial small subunit ribosomal RNA
Rfam family: Bacterial small subunit ribosomal RNA
Source: RNAcentral
GCCGGCUGUACCCGAAGUCACCGCGUUAACCGCAAGGAAGCAGGUGCCGAAGGUAUGGAUGGUGAUUGGGAUGAAGUCGUAACAAGGUAGCCGUAGGUGAACCUGCAGAAGGAUCA